AGAGUUUGAUCCUGGCUCAGAUUGAACGCUGGCGGAAUGCUUUACACAUGCAAGUCGAGCGGCAGCGCGGGGGCGACCCUGGCGGCGAGCGGCGAACGGGUGAGUAAUGUAUCGGAACGUACCCAGUCGUGGGGGAUAACUAUCCGAAAGGAUAGCUAAUACCGCAUACGUCCUGAGGGAGAAAGCGGGGGACCGUAAGGCCUCGCGCGAUUGGAGCGGCCGAUAUCGGAUUAGCUAGUUGGUGAGGUAAAGGCUCACCAAGGCGACGAUCCGUAGCUGGUCUGAGAGGACGACCAGCCACACUGGAACUGAGACACGGUCCAGACUCCUACGGGAGGCAGCAGUGGGGAAUUUUGGACAAUGGGGGCAACCCUGAUCCAGCCAUUCCGCGUGAGUGAAGAAGGCCUUCGGG
Molecule: ribosomal RNA, 412 nt
Filed under: uncultured bacterium
Lineage: Bacteria
Description: bacterial SSU rRNA
Rfam family: Bacterial small subunit ribosomal RNA
Source: RNAcentral